ACAUACGACCAUAGACUCAAGAGAAUUGGGCAUCCCGUCCGCUCUGCCAUACACAAGCUUGAGAUCGGUGGAUUAGUAGUUGGGUGGGUGACCACCAGCGAAUACCCACUGUUGUAUGUC
Pseudogymnoascus pannorum is the source of this 120-nucleotide ribosomal RNA. The record is from Rfam. NCBI's taxonomy places the organism in Eukaryota, Fungi, Ascomycota, Leotiomycetes, Thelebolales, Thelebolaceae.